CCUACGGGUGGCAGCAGUAGGGAAUCUUCCACAAUGGGCGAAAGCCUGAUGGAGCAACGCCGCGUGGGUGAAGAAGGUCUUCGGAUCGUAAAACCCUGUUGUUAGAGAAGAAAGUUCGUGCGAGUAACUGUUCACGUUUCGACGUUAUCUAUCCAGAAAGCCUCGGCUAACUACGUGCCAGCAGCCGCGGGAAUACGUAGGUGGCAAGCGUUAUCCGGAUUUAUUGGGCGUAAAGGGAACGCAGUCGGUCUGUUAAGUCUGAUGUGAAAGCCUUCGGCUUAACCGGAGUAGUGCAUUGGAUACUGGGAGACUGGAGUGCAGAAGAGGAGGGUGGAACUCCAUGUGUAGCGGUGAAAUGCGUAGAUAUAUGGAAGAACACCGGUGGCGAAAGCAGCUCUCUGGACUGUAACUGACGCUGAGGUUCGAAAGCGUGGGUAGCAAACAGGAUUAGAUACCCGGGUAGUC
RNAcentral lists this ribosomal RNA (465 nucleotides) under uncultured bacterium. RNAcentral describes it as "partial 16S ribosomal RNA". It matches the Rfam family "Bacterial small subunit ribosomal RNA", at positions 338 to 795 of the family's 1533-position model. The record is from RNAcentral.